GCAACUGUGGAGGCCUGUCUGGUAAAACUCAGCUGCUUAUCCCAGAACGUAUUCAUAACUGUAAAGCAUAGGCUACACAGUGCUGUCUUUGGUAACACAGUUCAUUGCAUCCAGAAAACAGGCAUUUCUUUAGCAUGGCUCAUUCUGAUUUUACUAAAUUCAUUGUCUAGACAUCAGUAAGAAAGCAGUCGGUGCGUGUGUUUUCUUUGCUCCCCAGCUGGUGUCUUCAUGCGUAGUGGUUAAAUAUUGUUUUUAGUUACCGUGCUGUGGUAAUGGUUUCCAGCUCUACUAGAUGAAUGUAAUCAUGUUAUAAAUAGGCUGCUUGCUGUUCUUGGCUUAUACAAACGUAUAGUGAAAGGCUAUGCCUUACGUAAGAGGCCAUCUCUUUUUUCCCCAGUCUGUGUCAUAGUCAGAAAAGAGGGUGUUUUCUUCAUUUUUUUCCUGUACGAGCAGAAGUAGUGCUGACUUGUCAGGGUGAGGCUUCAUUCUCUCACAGGUAGGAAGAGAAGCUCUCCGAACAGAGCAGAUAGGUCUGGCAUCGGAGGUGAAAGUUACCAGAAACUCAGCCAUUCUCUCUCUGGAGUUUUGCAGCUUCUGAGAGCAGCGCAGCGGCAGAAGUCUGGGGAGCAGAUUGUUGCUUUCGAAUCUCCGCUGUUGCUGUCUGGUUUCAUUGCUGAAUCCUCAGCUGCAUCUGCAGGAAGAGGCUGUGUGCGAGGGAAUGGGGAAAUGAGCCGCGCCGCGGAGGCAGGACUUUGCAUAACCUUGUAUUGCAUAAAGCAGACUGGGAGCAGAUAGCAUUUUCCGGAGGGGGUGGGCUCCGGGACCUGCGGUCUGGGAUGAAGCUUUGGCAAAGUACGAACGCAGUGAUAAAAAUACCAGCUUGCAGAUUAAUUUCACAGUCCUUCCCACAGGUUGGUGAGCUAAAUAGCAGGUAGAAUCACGUUGCUGCUGCUCUGCAGUUGGCUGAAGGUCAGAAAGGGAGCACUUUUUUUCUGGCAGGAAUAAUAGGUGCUCUCAGCUGCUGUAUUUCAGUUAAGUUAGUGCUGUGAUGGUCUUGUCACUGGUUACCUUGGAGUGAGACUUCUGUUGGUGGUGCUGUUCUCCCUAGUUUGGGUGUGAUUGAACUUUAAAUGCUCUGGAAUAGAAGGUGUUUUGUGGAUGAAGAGCCUCACGUUACCCUAAGCUAACAGCUGUUCAUUUAAGAUGACUUAACUUUCUUUUCCCUGCACCUUUACUUUUCUAAACGAGCGACUUCUUAUUUUGUUUCUUUUCAACGUGGUUCCCUGAAAUGCACAGUCCACGUGUUGGAGAUCACACGCUGUAUGUUGGUAUUCUUAUAAAUUCAUUGCUGUGAACGAUUGUGUGUGAGAUUAAAAAACUUGCUCCUGAAUUGGAUCUUGCUUUGUGUGAGCUGGAGCCUCAAAUUCUUGUUGGGAAGGAAGGCUCUAAUAGCAAGUGCCACACCAAGCUUUUAUGGUCCUGUCCCAGGCUGUAAGAAACCUUAACACACAGCGCAUGUUAAAAAAGCAACCAGUGCUGUGACUGGCAAUGCAUGUGUUUAGUGCUGCCGUUUGUUCUAUCCCCUUCCUCUGUUUACAAGCUGACUGUUUAAAUUACAGCUUCCUUCCUAUGAGGAACUUGUAUUCAUGCAUGUCUGUCAAAUACCUGCGGCCUUCUAAGAUCACAGGAACCAUUCCAUGAAGCACUUCUCCACGGGGAAGGGGAGAAGCACAAUACAUGAGUAGUCACCUGUGUCUCGAAUUCAUGAUUUAGAGCCAUGGUUACACAGCGAGACAGUAAGAUGUGGGGGGAGCCCUUGCCUGUGUAAGUAACAAGGCCGGGUUUUAUACUCCCUAGAAAAGCAUAGGAUAUGAAAAAUAAUUCCUGCCAUCAUUUCGUGCUCCUGAGCCCUUAAUAACUCUGCAGUCACCCUGCUGGUAGCCAGCAUUAAGGUAAUUGAGAAGAGAAUCUGAAACUUUAAAUGCACAAAGUCAGGUCGCUUAACUCGUGUCCUGGCUAAGGGAUGUGGCAGGUGGGGAUGGGAGCGCAGGGCUGGCGCUGGGGCCGGGUUGCUGAAUCAGGUGCCUGACAGCUAAUUGUGGACUUGGAAAGCACUAACCUCCAACUGCUGGCUUUGAAAGGCAGUCAUGUGCUCACACACCUCCAGAGCUGGUUGGGGUGCCUUACAGCAAGCAGCUCUGUUGCUGACGGCAGCCUGCAAAUCUCAUAGGGUGCCUGAGACCUUGGGGUGGGGAUAACUCUCCAUUACAAGGAAUCAUCUCAUGCCACUUCUUCCAGUUUGUAGCCACGUUCUGCAAGUUGCAGGCUUAGAGCGUGCCUGUCUGACUGUUUUUAUGUGACAAAAAGCAUUUGGCAAAUGGCAUCUCUGAAAUGCUAACAAGCCGGGCUCUGAAACGUGGGGUGCAGGGAAGGAGUUAAUGGGUGCUGGGAAUUGCAGGCAUUUGCUGGCUGAUGCGCGCUGACACACACUGAAAAGCUUGGAGCUUUCCUCUCAGAGUUGUGCCUUCCACUGUUUGUUUGUAUCGCCUUUCGGUAAAUGGCUUUGCUAAAAAAAGUUCUGCUGAACACUUAAUUCCUUUUUGGAUUCCCUCUGCAUAGUAGUUCCCUCAGUCUUGGGCUCGCUCAUUUAUAUUCAUGGCUAAAUAUGUAUUUAAUAGCCUGCAGCUCCUCCUGCGUGCGUGUGAAUGCUCGUAUUUCCUGAUCUGAGAUCCUUGCAGCAGAAAGAACUUGCAGGCUGCAUCGCUUUGCUAUCCAGCUUGCCCUGCUCUGGAUCUUGUGGGGGAGCAGUUGUUUUCUCCCCAGCUGUGCCCCUGUGUUGCAGCAGUGCACAGGGCUGCCGUGCCAUCGGGCCAUGGUGGACGUGUGUGACUUUGCAGUGAGGCCGAUCUGCUGGCCUGAGGCAGGCAGGAGGACUGAAGAAGGGAAAACGCUGAGCCCUUGAUUGUGCAAACCCCUUUGCAUUGAGCUCAGCAGUUUAAUAAUAGUUGGCCGGAGUAUAAAGUGUCACAUGAUGGGGAGCACAAGAGGAGUUCCCUGGCUUUGUUUAUACUGCUGGACUUGUGAAUUCAGUCAUUCAGAUUAAUCCUAUUGUGAGCCCACAGAUCUAAAUGUCCUCUGGUGUGUGUCCCGUUUAGCGCAGCCCUCAGCCCGUGACUCCUGUGACUUCCUGCCAUCUGCUCCUUGGCUGCGGAGAGGAAUUUUUCUUGUAUAUGCAUCUCCAUAGCAACGCGUUUGCAGUUGAUAUGGAAAGUAAGCAGUUGCCCUAGCAACGGAGUUACUGAUGUGGCAGCUCCUGAGCUCGCAGGGAAAGGGCUGAGCUGGUUCAGACGCAUUAUAUCUGUGUUAUUAUCCGUGUAGGGAUUCCUGGUUUGAACAAAGGCCGAUAAGGUUGCGUUUUCAGGGCGGGUGAUCAAUCUGUGCCUUUUAUGAAUGCAAACUUUGCUGACUGUUCUUAUGAAAUGUGAGCAGAUGAAGGGAGAAGAUGCUUGGUAUCACCGACUUCUCUGCAGUUCUUUGGUCUCACUCAGCAGCCCAGUUAUGGAAGAAGAUGCUCUCAUCCCAUGCCUCGUGCUCUGCUGCCUUUGUUUGCUGGUCUGUGCUGCUCCGGGUAUCCCUCCUACAGAGCGGGCUCCUCUUUGUGUCUGCCCUGCUUGUCUGAGGCAGAGAAUGGUGCACGUGUUCCCAGCUGGGUGCAUGCUGGGGAAAUUCAAGGCUCUUGAGGGUUUGUUUGGCACUUGUGCUGAGGGACGUCUCAAUAAAAAUGUCUCAGUAAAAAUGUA
Non-coding RNA from Coturnix japonica (Japanese quail), 3800 nucleotides. Lineage: Eukaryota; Metazoa; Chordata; Aves; Galliformes; Phasianidae. The record is from RefSeq and is a predicted model, not a curated record.